CGUAAACAAAGGGAAGCGAGCCUGUGAGGGGGAGCAAAUCUCAAAAAUAACGUCCCAGUUCGGACUGUAGUCUGCAACCCGACUACACGAAGCUGGAAUCGCUAGUAAUCGCGAAUCAGCAUGUCGCGGUGAAUACGUUCCCGGGUCUUGUACACACCGCCCGUCACACCAUGGGAGUCGAUAACGCCCGAAGUCGGUGACCCAACCGCAAGGAGGGAGCCGCCGAAGGCGGGAUUGGUAACUGGGGUGAAGUCGUAACAAGGUAUC
Molecule: ribosomal RNA, 267 nt
Filed under: uncultured bacterium
Lineage: Bacteria
Description: partial 16S ribosomal RNA
Rfam family: Bacterial small subunit ribosomal RNA
Source: RNAcentral